Molecule: transfer RNA, 74 nt
Filed under: Donghicola eburneus
Lineage: Bacteria; Pseudomonadati; Pseudomonadota; Alphaproteobacteria; Rhodobacterales; Roseobacteraceae
Also listed under: 4 other names
Description: tRNA-Gly
Rfam family: tRNA
About the family: Transfer RNA (tRNA) molecules are approximately 80 nucleotides in length. Their secondary structure includes four short double-helical elements and three loops (D, anti-codon, and T loops). Further hydrogen bonds mediate the characteristic L-shaped molecular structure. tRNAs have two regions of fundamental functional importance: the anti-codon, which is responsible for specific mRNA codon recognition, and the 3' end, to which the tRNAs corresponding amino acid is attached (by aminoacyl-tRNA synthetases). tRNAs cope with the degeneracy of the genetic code in two manners: having more than one tRNA (with a specific anti-codon) for a particular amino acid; and 'wobble' base-pairing, i.e. permitting non-standard base-pairing at the 3rd anti-codon position.
Source: RNAcentral
GCGGGUGUUGUGUAGUGGUAAGACCUUAGCCUUCCAAGCUAAUGACGCGGGUUCGAUUCCCGCCACCCGCUCCA